This is a non-coding RNA of Gymnopilus junonius, 73 nucleotides long. Lineage: Eukaryota; Fungi; Basidiomycota; Agaricomycetes; Agaricales; Galerinaceae. The record is from the annotation of a GenBank genome assembly.
GGUUCAAUGGUCUAGUGGUUAUGAUUUCUGUCUCACACACAGAAGGUCCCCUGUUCGAUCCUGGGUUGAGCCA